GUGCAUGUUCUGUAUAUGCUGCUCAUUGUUUGUAACUUAUGUUUGUAGAAUGAGAAAUGUGAAAGAAUGGUUAAAGCAAGUCGUAAAGUAACAAUGAACAGCAAAAAAAAGUCAUAUUUCAAGUUCAGAGGAUGAGUAAGUAUAAUAAAGAGGAAGUACUUCAGAAAGCUGAAAAGGAUCUAGCAACAGUGACAAAUUAGCACAUGUCUCAAUUAGUCAAAGAAUUGCAGGGUACUGAUUUUUGGAAGCUACGACGAGCAUACUCACCUGGGGUAUGAUUAAUGUAACUUUUUUAUUGGUUGAGGACAAAAAUACUUUCAUCUGAUACAUGCCUUUGGUGAACAAGAGUAUGUUGAAGCAGCUACUUUCUGCGGUUUCUGUAAAAAUGGAAUGCUUUUGACGCUUGACGAGAUAAAAAACUUGCAGAUUUGAUUGGAGAACUGAUGCGUCUGGCUAUUUGUAGGAUAUCAGAUGGUAAGCUUGAAUUCGCUUAAAAGAUAUGCAGAUUUGCAUGCGAUAUAUACAGGGAGCUUACACUUGUAGUGCCCAUAUGGAUGAUAGUCAUGAUAUGAAGACAAAGAUGGAAAUAAUGCUCCAAAGUAUCAUGAAAAUAGAGAAUGGAAUACAACGACACUUUAUUGAUUAGCUAUACUUUGCCAUGUUGACCAACUGCUCAAGAACUACUUCAACUGUCAGCAUUUCAGUUGCUGCUACUCCUCCUCCCAAAUUGCCAUCUGAAAUUAUAGGGAAGACUAUGGAAGAGUGCAAAACCUCCUCGAUCGACACUCCUGAUGAAUGGUGCUGAUGUCUAUGAGGCUGACACUAAAUGGUGGGUGAGAAGGGUUGCUUACUAUAAACAUUCUCUGAACAUUAAGUUGGGAACUCCAGCCAUACGAAAUGUGAUGGACAUGAAUGCAUUGUUUGGGAGUUUUGUGGCAGCACUAAAAUAUGAUCCUGUGUGGGUUAUAAAUGUAUUACCAGCCUGCAAGCCAUCAAGUCUUGAUGUGGUCUUUGACACAGGUCUUAUAGGAGUCUAUCAUAAUUGGUGUGAACCUUUCUCAAAAGAUCCAUCUUCUGGCAAAAGAAGGUACGGUCAUCAUAGCCUCUUGUUUUAUCUAUUGUUUCCCAGUUGUGAUGACGCAUUCUAGGGAACAGCGUGAUGUGAUUUAAAUUUUAAUCGACUAAUAACUGCCUCAACUAACUUUUGGCUAUUGCUGUCUGAUGCUCCUAUCUUUGUACAUAUCUCUUUUCCUAUCCAAAAUCAAAGUGUUUUAUAUCAUUAAUUUGGAUGCAUAUUUUAAAUUCUUAAAAUUC
Molecule: non-coding RNA, 1314 nt
Organism: Arachis ipaensis
Lineage: Eukaryota; Viridiplantae; Streptophyta; Magnoliopsida; Fabales; Fabaceae
Source: RefSeq, a predicted model, not a curated record